AGUAAUAUGCCUGAUAAAAGGAAUAUUUCGAUAAAAUACAAAUGUAAAUUAAUUUACUAUUACUA
RNAcentral lists this transfer RNA (65 nucleotides) under Coelioxys fenestratus. RNAcentral describes it as "Coelioxys fenestrata tRNA-Ile". The record is from RNAcentral. Lineage: Eukaryota; Metazoa; Arthropoda; Insecta; Hymenoptera; Megachilidae.